Molecule: long non-coding RNA, 2883 nt
Organism: Harpia harpyja (harpy eagle)
Lineage: Eukaryota; Metazoa; Chordata; Aves; Accipitriformes; Accipitridae
Exons: 5
Source: RefSeq, a predicted model, not a curated record
GCCUAGGCCGGCUGUAUGUUUACGUGAAACGGUGUAAAAAUUUUCACCACAUCAAAUUUUCACCUCGAGUGCCGUGUUCGGUGUUGGGCCCCUCGCUGCAGGAAAGACACGGAGGUGCUGGAGCGUGUCCAGAGAAGGGCAACGGAGCCGGAGAUUUUGGAGAAAGGAACGCAGUUCCUGCAGUUUGAUGAGUUGUGACGAGACCUCCUCUGCAGAGUCCAGGGAGACCGGCAAGGACACAUGUUGGCUGUAAUCCUUGAACCCAAGAGCUGCCCUUGUGCAGGGAAAUCGGAGGCGGAAUUUGUACAAGUGUGCUUGGCAUGGCUACGCUUUAGCAACUCGCGCGGCCACAAGCACCGAAGUACUGAAUACGAGGAAAGUUUGGACUACAACAUGAACUGUGCAUCUGUAUAAGCUCACGUAAGAGAGUGCAACACUAUUCAAGUCAACUUUUGUAAAUGUUGGUUUGAAGAACAGUGUUUUUUUCCCUGCUAAAUCUGAGCUUCAUCAUUCAUGGUAUUCUGCACUGGAGUAAUAGUAUUGGAGCAGUUGCUUUAUAAUAAUGAUGGAAAAGCCACAGGCUAGAGGAAGCAUUCAGAAGCAUUGGUAUUUCUAUGACUGCUUUGGAAUACGUUCAGCACUUAUUUCCUCCUUAUGCAUAUGAAUUUACCCAAGCACAGCAAGGUUUUGUUGCAUGCAUCCGGUUCACUGCUCUGCAUGUGGAAGUUUGUUAUAAUGAAAAACACAGGAAUCUCGACAACAAAAGCCCGGCUGACGUGUGGGUGAAACUGGCAGAUAACCUGGCUGCUCCGUGAAGCCUGGAUCUCGAUGGCGUGCCCUGUUCCCACUCAUCUGAGCAGCAAGCUCACAAGGGCACACAAGGAUGAUGGCAUCUCAGGUGAAGACUUACUUACAGGAGCAGCUGUAUUGAGUUUAGAAGCACAUUCAAGUGAGUAAACAUUGCAUAAACUCUAAACAACAUAGCAAAUGAACUUUCCAGUGACAGCCCCCCAAAUCAUUUGGUUUAUUAAUUUAGUAGACCAACCAUCUGUGCAUAUUGUGAACUGUCCCAUGGCAUGUCUGGAACUCUGAAGAGGAAAUAAUAUUUUCUAGUGAACAACUAGAGGAAACAUAUAUUUCAGGGAUUAUGAGAGUGGGAAAAAACUCAGGCUAUGUGUGUCUUCUACAUAGUGAUGAUUUGAAAAUUUUGCAUUCUACAAUAACCAAGCUCUUUACUAAAUGGUUGUGGCAGGAGCCUCAUAGUAGGUCUGAAUGAUGGAAACACCACACGCACCAUUUCCGUAGCCAUUGAACUCUUGCGUGAGUCAUUACAGCUGUUCUCACAAUCAUGGAAAGUCUGCAAACAGAGGUGCUGCUGUGGCAUCCUAACAACAUAUGAAUAAAGUGGAGAUACACCCAUUCAUUGGUUCUGGAUGAAGAUACGGUUUCUAACUGGUACCAUCUGACUACAUCCAACUUUUAUUUGAAUAUGAUUUUUUGUUGCAACUGUUUUGGUAGUUUUGGUUGAACAUUCCACAUUUUAAUUACCAUCAGGCGAGAAAUAUUUCAGUUCUGCUUCCUAAAAGCUCAUCUCUCUUCCCAACCCUUCACUGACGGUCUUUCUGUCAGCUAGAUUCUUGCUCAAACUGCCUGCCUCAGAAUUGAUCAAAUCUCAGAUAUGUCCAUCCUUAAUCUCCUUCCCUACGGUCUCAUUACCUGGUAUAAUGUUUUGGACCUUCAAAUCCACAGUGAUCAUUCUCUUAAUGAUUUUCUGAAUUAUUAAUAUUCCCAUUUUACAGAAGCCCGGAGAGUCUUGUACAAGGUUACUUAAGAGGCUCAGCCUGUAUCUUCAAAUCCAUCAUCUAUGCCUUAGUUAUGUUCUCCCCUCAAGCUUUCUAAGGAACAAAACUCUUGCUUUCCUAGUAUUUUCAGAUAAUUAUAAUUAUGGCUGAGACUAAUAAACACAAAGUUAAGAACUUUGAUCUCCAAGGCUGCUUAAAUUUGAGAUUAAUUUUGUGACUAGGUGAGGAUUUUUUUUUAAGGGAAAAAGUCUUUUUAAAGCAGAGACCAUUUAAUGAGGGAGCAAGAAUAAGACUAUAGGUGAUCAGUCACACUGCUUGACAGCUGAAUUAUAAAGAUUAAUUCUCCAGUAAUGUUGGUGAGGCACUUUUCAGAAACUUCCCAAAAGAAAUUAAUUCACUGAUUCACUGAAGGUUUCUGAAUGCUGAAUACAUAGAAACUGUUUUGUAAAGCUAACUUGACGCACUCCAAAGAGCUGAUUCAUUCUGAGAGGUUCUUUCAUGAAAUAUCUUCUCUCGGCUUUUUUUUUUUUUAAAGACAAAAUGUCCUUUCACCCCUCUUCAGAACUGUUUUUUACUGCUUUUCAGCAUCCAUGUGCUCUCUCCCUGGAGACUUCUCUGAGCCAGCCAUGAAAUGAGUACCCCCCAGAAAGACAGAGUGCAAGUUUAUUGCAGCUUACAUCAUCCCUGACAUAAUGAUCUCUACCUCUGAAAUGGGAACGCAGAUUCAAGUCCAUUCUAUUAUCUGAUUUUUUUAUUCCAAAUUACUUGCAUUAAGUGUCUUCUUUAUUUGGAACUUUUUAGCCCAGAUUACUCAGAUACCAAAUUAAAAUGACAACUAAUGCCAAAUUAAUAGACAGUCAUGUGCUUGGAUGCCUGUAAUAAUUUUAGUUCUCUGAUCACCUCUUGAUGACAUGCAGAUAAUUCUCCACCAUGGUGUUUCUCUCGUUAUUCAUCUCUCUACUGAUGUGUGCUUCAUUCCUUGUUAAUGUGUUUCAGGGCUUGUUUGCUCUUCUAGCUGUUGCAGCCAUAGAGAGGCUGUUUUAUAUUAUUCUAUAAGCUACAGUCCUUUAUGGAGCACUUA